CCUACGGGUGGCAGCAGUGGGGAAUAUUGGACAAUGGGGGGAACCCUGAUCCAGCCAUGCCGCGUGUGUGAAGAAGGCCCUCGGGUUGUAAAGCACUUUCAGUGAGGAAGAACGCCUGGUGGUUAAUACCCAUCAGGAAAGACAUCACUCACAGAAGAAGCACCGGCUAACUCCGUGCCAGCAGCCGCGGUAAUACGGAGGGUGCGAGCGUUAAUCGGAAUUACUGGGCGUAAAGCGCGCGUAGGUGGCUUGAUAAGCCGGUUGUGAAAGCCCCGGGCUCAACCUGGGAACGGCAUCCGGAACUGUCAAGCUAGAGUGCAGGAGAGGAAGGUAGAAUUCCCGGUGUAGCGGUGAAAUGCGUAGAGAUCGGGAGGAAUACCAGUGGCGAAGGCGGCCUUCUGGACUGACACUGACACUGAGGUGCGAAAGCGUGGGUAGCAAACAGGAUUAGAUACCCCUGUAUC
This 464-nucleotide ribosomal RNA is filed under the name Vreelandella stevensii. Its description in RNAcentral is "partial 16S ribosomal RNA". It matches the Rfam family "Bacterial small subunit ribosomal RNA", at positions 338 to 794 of the family's 1533-position model. Lineage: Bacteria; Pseudomonadati; Pseudomonadota; Gammaproteobacteria; Oceanospirillales; Halomonadaceae. The record is from RNAcentral.